AGAGAGGCCUCCGAGUAGGCCUCCCUGAAGCCUGAACUCGGCAGGCCCCAGCAAGCCAGGAAGGAGGCUGGCAGAGCUCCCUGUAGCAGACCCUCCCUGCAGCAGACCAGACCAUCCAGCACAGCUUUUGCAGAAAAGAACCAAGCCAGCCAAGGAGCGAUGUCCCUUCGAAGACAACGCAGUGACAGUUGGAAAGGAACUGCUCAGGAAGACACAGAUUUAUGAUGCUAGAAGACCUCUCUUCUCUAGCUAAAACUAAUUCAUUUAUAGUGGAAAGAUGUACAGAGGGUAUCCUUUAAGUGGGUUGUCAAGUCCACUUGCUCCCAGGAGGCAGGACCAAAUGAUCUAAUCCUGAAGAGCCGCUUAUUUCUUCUAUGGAGUCUCCUCCCAGUUCCGGCACUGUCUGGCGAACAAUUGAAGGAAGGAAAGGUCCAUGAAUGGCAAGGAAGGAAAAGAAAAGCCAAGAAGAACAAAGUAUGGCAGCUAGAACAAACAGCAACAACUGUUUUGGCUUUUAAAUUGUUUUAAGUUUUGUGUAUCUUUUAACUUUUUAAUGUUAUUGUUAACCGCCCAGAGACAAAAAUUUGAGGCGGUGUACAGAUUUGCUAAAUAAAAAUGAAUACAAUAGAGAAUAAAAGGCAA
This is a long non-coding RNA of Hemicordylus capensis (graceful crag lizard), 642 nucleotides long. RefSeq lists it as uncharacterized. The record is from RefSeq and is a predicted model, not a curated record. Lineage: Eukaryota; Metazoa; Chordata; Lepidosauria; Squamata; Cordylidae. The transcript has 3 exons.